AUCACGGCUAGGAAAUUCGAAGCCGAAAGCCGCCACCCAUAGCGGUUGCCGUGGUGUUUUCUUUAUGGG
Molecule: small RNA, 69 nt
Filed under: Pirellula sp. SH-Sr6A
Lineage: Bacteria; Pseudomonadati; Planctomycetota; Planctomycetia; Pirellulales; Pirellulaceae
Description: int-alpA RNA
Rfam family: int-alpA RNA
About the family: Acidobacteria (1 example), Planctomycetes (1 example), Proteobacteria. Environment (Lake Washington)
Source: Rfam by way of RNAcentral